UGGCUCAGUGGUUAAGAGCACUGGCUGCUUUUCCAGGGAUCCUGAGUUCAAUUCUCAG
Molecule: transfer RNA, 58 nt
Filed under: Mesocricetus auratus (golden hamster)
Lineage: Eukaryota; Metazoa; Chordata; Mammalia; Rodentia; Cricetidae
Source: Rfam by way of RNAcentral